Molecule: ribosomal RNA, 552 nt
Filed under: Anthracocystis elionuri
Lineage: Eukaryota; Fungi; Basidiomycota; Ustilaginomycetes; Ustilaginales; Ustilaginaceae
Description: LSU rRNA
Rfam family: Eukaryotic large subunit ribosomal RNA
Source: RNAcentral
GAAAGCUGGCGUCUUCGGCGUCCGCAUUGUAAUCUCAAGAAGUGUUUUCCGCUUCGGACCAUGCCUAAGUCCCUUGGAAAAGGGCAUCAUAGAGGGUGAUAAUCCCGUACAUGGCAUGGAGCGCCCGAGGCUUUGUGAUACGCUUUCUAAGAGUCGAGUUGUUUGGGAAUGCAGCUCAAAAUGGGUGGUAAAUGCCAUCUAAGGCUAAAUAUUGGGGAGAGACCGAUAGCGAACAAGUACAGUGAUGGAAAGAUGAAAAGAACUUUGAAAAGAGAGUUAAACAGUACGUGAAAUUGCCAAAAGGGAAGGGUAGGAGGUCAGAGAUGCGUCUUGGGAUUCAGCCUUGCUUUUGCUUGGUGUUUUUCCCAAGUUGCAGGCCAACGUCGGUUUUGGGCACUGGAGAAGGGUGGAAGGAACGUGGCACCUCUCGGGGUGUGUUAUAGCCUUCUACUGGAUACAGCGACCGAGACCGAGGACAGCAGCGUACUCGCAAGAGCGGGCCUUCGGGCACCUUUACGCUUAGGGCGUUGGCAUAAUGGCCCUCUACCACCC